CUACGGGUGGCAGCAGUGGGGAAUAUUGGACAAUGGGCGCAAGCCUGAUCCAGCAAUGCCGCGUGAGUGAAGACGGCCUUAGGGUUGUAAAACUCUUUCGCUAGGGAAGAUAAUGACUGUACCUAGUAAAGAAGUCCCGGCUAACUCCGUGCCAGCAGCCGCGGUAAUACGGAGGGGACUAGCGUUGUUCGGAAUUACUGGGCGUAAAGAGUUCGUAGGCGGACUGACAAGUUAGAGGUGAAAUCCCAGGGCUCAACCCUGGAACUGCCUUUAAAACUGUCAGUCUAGAGACCGGAAGAGGUUAGGGGAAUACCUAGUGUAGAGGUGAAAUUCGUAGAUAUUAGGUGGAGCACCAGUGGCGAAGGCGCCUAACUGGUCCGGUACUGACGCUGAGGAACGAAAGCGUGGGGAGCAAACAGGAUUAGAUACCCCGGUAGUC
This 439-nucleotide ribosomal RNA is filed under the name uncultured bacterium. Its description in RNAcentral is "partial 16S ribosomal RNA". It matches the Rfam family "Bacterial small subunit ribosomal RNA", at positions 339 to 795 of the family's 1533-position model. The record is from RNAcentral.